This 459-nucleotide ribosomal RNA is filed under the name uncultured bacterium. Its description in RNAcentral is "SSU rRNA". It matches the Rfam family "Bacterial small subunit ribosomal RNA", at positions 26 to 518 of the family's 1533-position model. The record is from RNAcentral.
AGAAUCAACGCUGGCGGCGUGCCUAACACAUGCAAGUCGAACGAGAAAGUGGAGCAAUCCAUGAGUAAAGUGGCGACCGGGUGAGUAACACGUGACUAACCUACCUUCGAGUGGGGGAUAACAUCGGGAAACCGAUGCUAAUACCGCAUAACAUCGCAAGAUCAAAGCAGCAAUGCGCUUGAAGAGGGGGUCGCGGCUGAUUAGCUAGUUGGCGGGGUAAUGGCCCACCAAGGCGAAGAUCGGUAUCCGGCCUGAGAGGGCGCACGGACACACUGGAACUGAAACACGGUCCAGACUCCUACGGGAGGCAGCAGUGGGGAAUUUUGCGCAAUGGGGGAAACCCUGACGCAGCAACGCCGCGUGGAGGAUGAAGCCCUUGGGGCGUAAACUCCUUUCGACCAAGACGAUAAUGACGGUACUGGUGGAAGAAGCACCGGCUAACUCUGUGCCAGCAGCCGC